Molecule: non-coding RNA, 107 nt
Organism: Capsicum annuum
Lineage: Eukaryota; Viridiplantae; Streptophyta; Magnoliopsida; Solanales; Solanaceae
Source: Rfam
UAUUGGUGGUGUGGAUAAUCUUGAAGAAGAUCCUUGAAGCGUUCCCAAGCAUAAUAAAGAUUUUCAUCAAUCUUUUAUUUGAAGCUCACUAUAUCACUGUGAAGUCU